UUUAUACUUGUAUUUUACAACAAAUUCCAGCAAGAUCACUGCUAGAUGUUCGAUAUGUAAACGAACUAUUGAGGAGAAGACCGGGACAACCUCAAACUUCAACAGACAUCUGUCAAGGAUGCACCCAGAAAAGUUCCAAGAAUACCGUGCCUCCACUGCUUCAGAUGUGAUGCCAGCUGCUCCAGGUCAGAAGACUAUCACAUCAUUUUUAAGUGAUGGACAACAAAGGAUGU
Lampris incognitus (smalleye Pacific opah) is the source of this 233-nucleotide long non-coding RNA. RefSeq lists it as uncharacterized. The transcript has 3 exons. The record is from RefSeq and is a predicted model, not a curated record. Lineage: Eukaryota; Metazoa; Chordata; Actinopteri; Lampriformes; Lampridae.